GUUGUGUUUUUCUCCUUUCAUUCAUUCAUCUCUUUCAACAUAUUUAUCUCAUAGGGUUGUGUUCAGCAAAUUUCAGUUGUGCGUUGAAGAUUAUGCAGUGGUUUUGCGAAAUGAGUUUGUGAAAAAGCGCGGAAUGAUGAAGAAGCGAUUUUCCUCGAGUUCGCGAUCUGCAACUGCAUACGAAGCCGAUGACGACGUGGAUGAUGAUACUUUUUUGAAUGCAUCAAGAUCUUCGAAAUCAUUCGGCCCAUAUGGAAGAAACAUGGGAAUAUCAACAGAUUCUUCAAGUAAAGCUACUUAUCAACAGAGAUACGACAGUCUACAGGAUCAGAAAACUCAAUUACUCAAUCGAAGGGCGGAAAUUGAGAGCAGAACAUUGGAAUCCACUCACAGGUCUCUAAGUUUAUUACGUGAUUCCGAAGAUGUUGGCAUCGCUACUGCUGAAGAAUUGAACAGGCAGAGAGAACAGCUUGAAAACACGGAUGCACGUUUGAAUGAAAUAAAUGAAAAUUUGCACUCUAGCAGCAAACAUAUUCAGGGAAUAUCGAGCAUUUUUGGUAGUCUAAAAAAUUACUGGACAAGCAGAAAAUCAACGGAUGAUAAAGAAAAAGAAGGACGCGCACCAGUAAGAACUCCAAGAUCGGUGUCUAUGGACGCUACUCCGAGAUCACGUAGACAUUUGCAAAAUGCAUUAGAACAUGCUAGUACAAAUAUUGAUGCAGAUGAGCAUCCAGCAUUACGUAUUAGAGGCAUUUCUUCUAGUCAAAGUAAGUCUUCCACUGAGUCAGCCGAUUUUCAAGAUGCCCUGGAUCGUAACUUAGAUGAAAUGGUUAAUUCACUAGGACGACUCAAAGGUCUCGCCGAAGGCUUAGGUCAGGAAUUGGAUUCGCAGAAUCAUCUGUUGGAGGACGUUAUCAGUAAAACUGAAAAGGCUGAUAUCAAUAUAGAAAGGCAAAACAAAGACAUUAAACGUCUAUUGAAAAAAUAAUACAUACUUACCGGAGAUUACUACUGCACACAACUUUAAUUAAUUUUAUCGCUUUGGUGUCCCAGUCCUUUGUUAUGCGCAUCAAAGGUGUGUAUUUUUGCUUCGUAUCACGCGUAUUUGUAGUAAAAUUUAGAUAUGUAUGUAUGUUUCCGGUGGUCUUCAGAAGCAGAUGUACCUACCUACCUACAUAAUCGUAAGUAGAAUUCCUAUUAGUCCAUGUCAAAGUUAGCGAUUGUCAUGAGAAUAACCAACAUUUCUUGCUAUAUGUGUUUGAUAAUUUUAUGUAAUUACGAGUAGAUAUCCUUCUUUCUUCUGCUAGGUAGUAAGAUAUUUAUAAAAAUUGAUUGUGAGAACAAUAACUGAAAAGAAUUCCUUUAUUGUGCAUUUUAUCACAGAUAUUUGUAUGAAUUAUGUCUUCCGAUAUAGGUAAUAUUAUUACUAUAUAUACUUAGUUUUAAUACAUUUAGGAUAUAAGCUUGAUAUCAUUCGAGAAUAUCGUAGUUAAUUGAAACAAGGUAGCUAGUACACCAAACUUCGAAAAAAAAUCACAAAAACAUAAAAAAUUAUUAAAGAUACCUACACAUACUGUGCAUUAAUUACAAACGCGUCUCGUCUAGAGCGAUUAUUUAUACAUCAUUUACAUAGGGUUGUUAUCUUAUUGAUCCCGAUGAAGACUUCAAAUUUUCACAAAAUGACUGGUAACUGAUUAGAAAUAACUAGGUAGCAUAACAAAUGAAUCCAGCUUUGAAAUUUUAUAGCUGCUGAUAAGCUCACGACUUGUUUUGAUGAAUUAUACAGUAGACUUCCAAUUAAUCGAGGUUAUCGACACAGGGAACUCGGAUAGGUACCCCGCAAAAUAUAAAAUCAAGCGUGUAUUUUUACACGAAAAAAACUGGAAAAAGUGCGUCAUGUAGAAAACGAGCAGUAAUUUUGGCAGAGAAAAAUAAGAAUGAUCAAUGAUUUCAGCUAUAAAAAUGUAUUUUUUUCAAAAUAAGAAAUGUUUUCAACUAGAAGUUGAUUGAAAGAUUACUGUAAACCUGCAUCUUUUACAAAUUGAUGCUCACUAGCUUUUCAAAAGUAGGUACCUAUGUAUUUUUUUAAAAAUAUUUUGUAGAAAGUGAAGUCGAAAUUUUGGUUCCUAUAAUAAUUUUUAAAUGAACUUUGCUUUCCAAGACUCAAAUUUGAUUACCACGCGUAAUUUUUGUAAUUUUUCCAAAAAAAUUGCACAGAGAAUAGAAAUUUACUGAGCAAGUGACAAUAAAAUAAUUCGAUGUUACCGAUUUUUGUUUUUAUUGUAUUAUUUUUGAGAGAUUGAAUAAAUUUGAUUAAUAUAAUUAGAAGUACCUACAUUCAUAGACACAUUUCCUAAUUAUUUAUAAUUGUUUGUUCAAUAUUAAUCGCCUAAGUUUUGUGUGUAUUUCUUCUUUUUUUUUUGGAAAAAAAAAUCUCGUGACUUGACAGUUGGAUUGAGUAGAUAUCUCUACCUAAUAAAUAUUGAGACAGAAUCAUUCGGAAAAUUUUCACACUAAUUUUCAGUCAGCCAUUUCGACUUAUUUUUCUGUACCUUCCAAUCCAACACAUGCGGCUAAAAUGCCAACUUGACAAUAAUUGAACUCAAAACAAUGUUAGAGUAAACCUUACUUAUAAUCGACUCUCUUUCCAUUCAUUAUAACCUGUCACGGCUGUCACUGGGCUAUCGAUAUCGAUACGCAGUAGGUAUUGUUGUUUCAUUUGGAAUGAAAAUACUUGUACAAGUAUGUCUAACGUAGGUAGGUCUCUGUGUAUAAUCUUGAAAAAAUACUCUAAACAUUACUAAAUUUCAAACUCACGUUUGCAAUUGUUCUUCUGCGUUGAAGAGCUCUUCACAAAGAUUUCUUUUGAAACUAACUAUAGGUAUCGAUUUCGUUUGGCAACAAAUUCACUGAAAAUACAUACGAUGAAGAUUGGUAGAUAUUAGAUAUUUUGUACAUCUCCAACAGUCAAGUUCGAGGAAUUAUUAUCAUAAUUAAGUGUGCCUAUUUACCUUUUUGCCUUUAUGUUUUCUAGCUUAUCGGAAUGUCAAUUUUUACCGGUCCUUCCGUAAUUCUAUUUGUCUUGCGUUUACUCGUAUUUUUCACUGGUCUAACGUUAUUAUUAUAUCGCAGAGCAUUGGUAGUUGGUUGUACUGUACUGAUUUCACCGGUGUCUUCUUGAAUAUCUUUUUUAUUGCGUACGAAGAUUUCUUCAUCUUCGUUGAUUGAAUUAGUCUUCAAAUUUAGUCUUGCUAGGAUGAAAUCGUAUUGGUUAUUUAGGCUGAUACGAAUAAUUUGCAGACAUCUUCUGUCAUAGUUCAUCAAGUAACCAGGUGGGCACCCGAAUGUAGGCGCGAUAAAAACUGAUUUGGGUACCAUUUUGCGAGACGUUGGGUCGUCUUCGAAGUCGGUUGCGAUUCUAGAUUUACGAAUGCUGGCAGUGUGCCUUGGUUGCCAUAAUGUUGAGAAUAUCAUUAAACUUAUUGUGAGGUAGACGAUGCAAGAAUCCAUGAGUGUGCUGAAAAAGAAAAAAAUUGAAUUGAUUAAAAUUCAAAAUCCUGUUUCACAAAACUAAAAAAUAAUAAUAAUAAAAAAAAAACAAGAACUUUUUUUUUGAAAAGUAGCCACGUAAACAUAUUGAAUAUUCUAUACCUUUCAAAAAUAUUUUUACAUUUUUUAACCAACAGAAAUUCAUUUUUUAAAAUAAAGUCUUCCGAUCAUCACUUCAGUAGGCUUUAAAAUCAAAACAUUCAAUUAGGUACAAGUGUCUAAGUAAGUAUGUACUUGAAAAAACAAAGAAACUGAAGUUGACUUUUUGCUCUAUUUUUUCAGAAACUGAAACGUAUAACAACGCUGAAUCCUAUUCAUUAUCAUUAACGACGUGUUUAAAAUAACUUAACUCAUCUCCUCGCAUAAAAUUUUAGUAGCUAGAUAUUUAUUUUUUUUUUAAUGGAUAGGAACGUUUCAAAAUGGACAUACCUACUUUGCCUUUUUUUGGAUAACUGAGUAAGUACAAAUUAUCUCUCAGGUAGUGCUAUUUUUUCAUUUUUACCAUUUUAUAAACUGGGUCUUGUUAUGGUGAAAAAAUUAAGAAACAAAUUUACGAGUACCUACCUAUGCUAGCAGUGUGUUCGAUUUGGCUUGAUUCAGUCACCUACAUAUGUAUUUUAAACGGGCAAGUUCGCUACCUGAUCACCCCUUUAGUAAUGCUCAAGAAACGACAUUAUGUAGGGACUAUUAAUUUUCAGCAAAGUAAAGAUACUUUAAGAAACCUUAACAGGGUAUCUGUAGUGGUGAAAAAUCACCUUCAUUAAAAACUCAAAUGUUUAGAAUACUUGGUUUCAUUUUUUCCGUUGAAUUUCCAAUCAAUUUUUGACCCUACCUCAAACACAAAACAUAAUGAAUGGAGAAAUUGUUUUUAUAUUAUUUAAAAUACCAAAAGAGACCUACAAGUAUUUGAUUUAUUACGCUCAUUCUCUAGAGAAAAAAAAAAUCAAAAUUUGUUUAGAAUAUUUUGAGCUUAGAUAAGUAUAGUAAGUACCUAUUUCAUUAAAGUGCUUAAGAAAAAAGUGAAAUGACUCAUUGAUGUACCAAGAAAAUAAAUUUCAUUACCUUUGAGGAGAUUUCUAAGAAUUUUUGUAGUUGAUUUUAAAUUUUAUCUUUUUUUAAAAUUUUGCCGUAAUAAAAAAUAAAAAUAAUUUCCGAAGCUACAUAAGUAGGUACAAUAAAAAAGUCAGAAACAAAAAUUAGGUAUAAUUUUAAACAAAAUUUGGGUACCUUGGUAAUGAUUAAUGAAAAAUGAAUUUUGAAGAAACUUGUUAUCUUUUGAAUAUCCUUUGCAUCUCAGGGACUCAGGGUCAUCAUUUCACUUUGGAACUCCCAUCAAAAUUCCUCUUAUCACAUCAACUUCAUCAAUUUUUAUUUAGAAAUUCAACUGAUUUUUUUAUUCGUUAAUUCGUCAUCGCACGUAUUAAUUUGGGAAUCAUUUUAUCGACACGAUCACACUGUACAGAAAAAUUUACCUGUAUCAAAUCGAUAUUCCACAAAAAGUAAUGAGUACAACUUAGGUAUUUCAAUCUUUUCAUGAAAGAUUCACUACAACUCGCGUUAGGUAUCUUAUUUUUAAAACACUUGAAAAAAAAAAUCGCCGCGAUUUCGAGGUGUUCACAUUUUCAAUACUUGUUGACAACUGAGCUGAAAAACUAGUUUAACCUUGUCGCCGUCUAUCAUAGUGUUAAGGGGUGGGUUUACUUUGCAGUUACCUAGGAGUAACAUAUUUUGUAACAGCACAAAGGUUGAGUCAUAAUAGAACCUGUUCAAAUGAAGGGAGGGUUAGAAACGAAAGAAUUAAGUAAACAAUUAUCUACUGAUAGUUUGUCGCUAAAGCAAACUAAGACGAGUAUAAUGAUAGGUCAUUUGAAAAUUUAACUUGAUGUAAACUCUCGAGGCAUUUCGAUUUUAUCGCUGUCAAAUUACACAUACUGUAUAUUUCGAUGAUUUCCAAUCAAUUACAUGGGAGAUGAAUGAAAAUUAGUCAGCAAUAAUGUACCUAUGAUUUGUGUUUAAAUUCAAAAAUACCUGAAGACGGGGAGGGUAUAAAUUGUUUGAUUAAAUAGGUACGUUCUUAAUUUGUACGCUUUGAACCGUGCAGAAAUGGAUAACUGGUAAGGGCACGUGGUUUAGUGCUAUUUUUACAGACUCACGUGCCAUCGAUUCUGAAUAAUCUCAGCGUAGUUAUAUAAUUUGUUAUCUUUUGAAUUGAGAAUUUAUGGUAUUUUAUCGUUGACUUUUCUAAAUAGGUACGUUGAUAAAAAAGCACCUCCACCUAUUUAGACGGUUCAUUUCUAUUCAAUACGAUUUUCACCAGUAUACCUACACCUAUACCUACUUAUUUACUGCUAUACCGAAGUACGUAGGUACAAAAAUAAGGUAUAUAAUUAUACCAUCGCUGUAUGAAUAUCAUAGACCAAUUUUUUUCUCGCUUUUUCUCGCUUCUGUGAUUUUAUUUAUUUUUUUCUUUUUAUACUAUUUUCUUCUAUUUUAUGUAGGUAAUGAAACCCUUUCCUUUCAAUGGUCAAUUCUUCAUUCCAUGUCAAUUCUAUUUUAUGUUUAUCUGUGUGACUGUUUUAAAACAUUUAUUUGCUGAUUAAUUAAUUUUAAGCUGUGUUUUUCUGUACAAUCAUUUUUAUGUUACCUUCAAUAAAUGUGUGUCAAUUA
Molecule: RNA transcript, 6216 nt
Organism: Planococcus citri (citrus mealybug)
Lineage: Eukaryota; Metazoa; Arthropoda; Insecta; Hemiptera; Pseudococcidae
Gene name: synaptosomal-associated protein 29-like
Exons: 6
Source: RefSeq, a predicted model, not a curated record